Molecule: ribosomal RNA, 580 nt
Filed under: Naganishia albida
Lineage: Eukaryota; Fungi; Basidiomycota; Tremellomycetes; Filobasidiales; Filobasidiaceae
Description: eukaryotic LSU rRNA
Rfam family: 5.8S ribosomal RNA (bases 145-298)
Source: RNAcentral
UCUGUCGAGCUUGCUCACAGGCACAUCAUAUCCAUAACACCUGUGCACUUGUCGGAUGGCUUAGUGAAGACCGCAAGGUUGGAUCUAUCCAUCUACUUUACAUAACAAUUCUGUAACAAAUGUAGUCUUAUUAUAACAUAAUAAAACUUUCAACAACGGAUCUCUUGGCUCUCGCAUCGAUGAAGAACGCAGCGAAAUGCGAUAAGUAAUGUGAAUUGCAGAAUUCAGUGAAUCAUCGAAUCUUUGAACGCACCUUGCGCUCCUUGGUAUUCCGAGGAGCAUGCCUGUUUGAGUGUCAUGAAAACCCUCAACCCUAGAUUGGUUAAAACCUUUCUUUGGUUUGGAUUUGGACGUUUGCCGAUGAUAAGUCGGCUCGUCUUAAAAGUAAUAGCUGGAUCUGUCUCGCGACAUGGUUUGACUUGGCGUAAUAAGUAUUUCGCUAAGGACAUCUUCGGAUGGCCGCGUUGCAGGACUAAAGACCGCUUUCUAAUCCAUUGAUCUUACGAUUAAUAUUCUUGACAUCUGGCCUCAAAUCAGGUAGGACUACCCGCUGAACUUAAGCAUAUCAAUAAGCGGAGGA